Molecule: transfer RNA, 74 nt
Filed under: Camelus bactrianus (Bactrian camel)
Lineage: Eukaryota; Metazoa; Chordata; Mammalia; Artiodactyla; Camelidae
Also listed under: 1 other name
Rfam family: tRNA
About the family: Transfer RNA (tRNA) molecules are approximately 80 nucleotides in length. Their secondary structure includes four short double-helical elements and three loops (D, anti-codon, and T loops). Further hydrogen bonds mediate the characteristic L-shaped molecular structure. tRNAs have two regions of fundamental functional importance: the anti-codon, which is responsible for specific mRNA codon recognition, and the 3' end, to which the tRNAs corresponding amino acid is attached (by aminoacyl-tRNA synthetases). tRNAs cope with the degeneracy of the genetic code in two manners: having more than one tRNA (with a specific anti-codon) for a particular amino acid; and 'wobble' base-pairing, i.e. permitting non-standard base-pairing at the 3rd anti-codon position.
Source: Rfam by way of RNAcentral
GAGGGUAUAGCUUAAGUGGUAGAGCACAUGCUUAGCAAGCAGGAGGUUCUGGGUUCAAUCCCCAGGUACCUCCU